Sebastes umbrosus (honeycomb rockfish) is the source of this 778-nucleotide long non-coding RNA. RefSeq lists it as uncharacterized. The transcript has 3 exons. Lineage: Eukaryota; Metazoa; Chordata; Actinopteri; Perciformes; Sebastidae. The record is from RefSeq and is a predicted model, not a curated record.
GAGAGUCAAGGGCAGACUAGUUAGUAAGAACAGGAAGGAGCUGGAUACAGGAGCUACGGGUCGGCCGCCGUGUGGCUGCGGGUCAAGCGUCAGGAAUCUGCCCGUAUGGUGUCUAGAGGAGCGUCUUUCUCCCGAGGGACGGCGGUGGUGGCUAUGAAUGGCCCCUCUGUGGAUUUGUCGGUGUGGCGGCGAUGGCUGGUGGCAUCGUAGUGGGGGCGGUUUUGGAACGAGGAGAUUCGGAGAGCACAGAUCGAUCAUUGGACAGAUCGUGAUCCGGAGGGGAUGAGAACCAGCUCAUAGUCCAUGGCGAGGUUGCUGACUCCUGGUCUAGACGAACGAAUGAACGGACGAAUGUGAAAACUAAGUCAAGAGGAUUGAACGGAUCAGAACGGCUCCCAUACAGGAUUAAGAAGCACCCGCAUGUGGUGACACAACAGUCUUCUGUUAGCUGCAUACAGCUGAGCCGAAUAAAUGAAAUGAGCUCCGACCUGCGGUGAAUGUCGGGUACAUUGGAGUGGAUCUCCAGGCAGGACGGGGAGGCAAUGUCAUCAGACAGCUUGACAGCUUCUUGGCGUGGUGGUCGAUGCUUGCAUCAAGGCUCAUUGAGAGAGGAGGGACUGUUAAAUAUUUUGCUCUUCAUAGGGUGUCAACCAUGUCCUCAGUCUGAAGUAGAAAAUCAAGUUACAUUUGCCAAGUUCAUGAGUCAUGGCAACUCAAAAUGGUGAUUAUGAUAAUAAGGUUCAAAAAGGUUAAUACGAUGUUUGAAUGAUUUUUUGCA